CUGGGUCGGGGGCUGCAGGUGGGAGUGAGCAAAUGUGCUGUCUCGCCACCUCGGGACAGGUGGUAGGGCCUCUGACACAGAGUGGUCCUUCCUGCUGUUCACAGCUCAGCUCACCGUGGGCUGACCAUAGAUUCUCGUUGAAAUCCUAACGCCCCAGGCAAUGAUGUUAGGAGGCGGGGCUUCUGGGAGAUGGCAAGUUCGUGAGGCUGCAGCUCUGCUGGGGGAUCAGUGUCCUUCUACAAGCGGCUCCAGGGAGGUCCCUUGCCCCUUCCACCAUGUGAGGACCCGAGAUGGUGCCGUCUAUGAACCGGGAAGUGAGUCCUCUCCGGACGUGGAACAAGUUGGUGCCUUGAUUUUGAACUUGCAGCCUCCAGGUGAGCCGCUGCUUGGGGUGAGCAUGCUUCCUGCUGGAUGCUUCUCUAUGUAAGCACCUGCCUGAGUGUCAGCCCUCUUAAGGUGAACCGCUCCGUGUCAUUCGUACAUUCACAAGUUUGUGCCGCCAUCAUCGUGAUCGGAUUCCAAAACAUUUUCAUCACCUCCAAGAAAGCCUUGUACCUGGCAGCAGUCACUGUCUCUAUGGAUUUGCUUAUUCUGGACAUUUCAUAAAAAUAGAAUCAAACAGCA
RNAcentral lists this long non-coding RNA (624 nucleotides) under Homo sapiens (human). RNAcentral's name for it is "HSALNT0402327". Lineage: Eukaryota; Metazoa; Chordata; Mammalia; Primates; Hominidae. The record is from RNAcentral.